RNAcentral lists this ribosomal RNA (437 nucleotides) under uncultured Oscillospiraceae bacterium. Its description in RNAcentral is "bacterial SSU rRNA". It matches the Rfam family "Bacterial small subunit ribosomal RNA", at positions 341 to 792 of the family's 1533-position model. The record is from RNAcentral. Lineage: Bacteria; Bacillati; Bacillota; Clostridia; Eubacteriales; Oscillospiraceae.
ACGGGAGGCAGCAGUGGGGAAUAUUGGGCAAUGGGCGAAAGCCUGACCCAGCAACGCCGCGUGAAGGAAGAAGGUCUUCGGAUUGUAAACUUCUUUUAUGAGGGACGAAGGACGUGACGGUACCUCAUGAAUAAGCCACGGCUAACUACGUGCCAGCAGCCGCGGUAAUACGUAGGUGGCAAGCGUUAUCCGGAUUUACUGGGUGUAAAGGGCGCGUAGGCGGGGUGGCAAGUCAGAUGUGAAAUCUAUGGGCUUAACUCAUAAACUGCAUUUGAAACUGUCACUCUUGAGUGCUGGAGAGGUAGACGGAAUUCCUUGUGUAGCGGUGAAGUGCGUAGAUAUAAGGAAGAACACCAGUGGCGAAGGCGGUCUACUGGACAGUAACUGACGCUAAGGCGCGAAAGCGUGGGGAGCAAACAGGAUUAGAUACCCUGGUA